RNA transcript from Arabidopsis thaliana (thale cress), 206 nucleotides. RefSeq lists it as uncharacterized. The record is from RefSeq. Lineage: Eukaryota; Viridiplantae; Streptophyta; Magnoliopsida; Brassicales; Brassicaceae. The transcript is spliced from 2 exons.
GCUUUGUUGAUUCCUUUGCAUCAGUGCUUUUGAAGAAACUGUUUCCUACUUAUCAUCUUCCUAUUUAGUUUGCGUUAAAGUUUCUGUGACAUGGAGAGAAAUGAGAAGACAAGUCUGAUUAAUCAAAUCUUCUCUCAACUAUAUUCUCAACAAAGAUAUCAACAAGGAAGAGAUUAGGUCGAUACUCGAUACCAGGCAUGUUUUGU